AAGUCGUAACAAGGUUUCCGUAGGUGAACCUGCGGAAGGAUCAUUAUGAAUUAAAAUAUUGUGAAUUUACCACAACAAACAUAAAUACUAUAGUCAAAACAAAAUAAUCAAA
This 112-nucleotide unclassified non-coding RNA is filed under the name plant metagenome. Its description in RNAcentral is "partial contains small subunit ribosomal RNA and internal transcribed spacer 1". The stretch from base 1 to 46 matches the Rfam family "Eukaryotic small subunit ribosomal RNA", at positions 1786 to 1831 of the family's 1831-position model. The record is from RNAcentral.